Molecule: long non-coding RNA, 649 nt
Organism: Hemicordylus capensis (graceful crag lizard)
Lineage: Eukaryota; Metazoa; Chordata; Lepidosauria; Squamata; Cordylidae
Exons: 3
Source: RefSeq, a predicted model, not a curated record
CCUCCUCAACUUUUUUGGUGGGGUGGGGGGUAGUGCUGCCACUGUCAGGGAAGCCCCAUGGGGGUGCCUGUGGUGGUGAGAGGCCUGCACCUGUUUGGAGGGAAAACCUCAACCCUGGAUUCGCCUAAGGCCUGCCUUGCAUCAGAGAUGUGCUGGCUCUUUUCUUUUCAUUGGAUCCCAGAGCUGUCUGUCUCUGGAAGAGUGGGAAAGCCUUCCUCCUCUUUAAUCAAUAUAAAAUAGAGGCCAAUAACCCCACCAUUUUGUCACCAGUACAGUCGUAAGUCGCCAGCAACCAGGCACCAUGUCACCAGCUGCUACUAGUGUUCAGAACGGGAAAAGCUGCCGAGAUAAUGCUCUCUCAGCCAAGGAUCUACCUACUGCUAGACUAAGUUGUGUCCUAGAGAAUGGGCUGUAGUGACCAGUCUCCGCCACCAUCUAAAGAGUUAACAGGAAGUGAACCUUUCUCUUGACUGAUAGGCUGGUGAACUCCAGGGCUCAAUCAAUCAGUACACCAGAAUUCUUGAGAAGCUUCCAUUUGAUUUCAGAGUGAUGAUACUUUAGGACCAGUUCUGCCUGUGUGCUUGCUUCUUUACCCCUGAACUGCCAGCUCAGCUUGUACUCUUGUGAAUAAAGAGAUGGUUAUGAAGAC